Molecule: long non-coding RNA, 1272 nt
Filed under: Homo sapiens (human)
Lineage: Eukaryota; Metazoa; Chordata; Mammalia; Primates; Hominidae
Description: long intergenic non-protein coding RNA 293
Source: RNAcentral
AAGUCCUUCCCACAGAGAGCGGUUUGAUAUGUCACUGAAACCAGCAUCCAGGUGGUAUUGCUCCAUAUGCCUGAGACCCUAACAAAAGCCUAAUUACAACUCAUAUGCCUGGAGCCAGGACAUGUGCAGGAUGGUGAUGUAACUUUCCUCUCUGGAAUGGGUCCUGCACAAAGGAAUGAUAGUAACAUAUUGCAAAGCCAGACACACAGCCAUGAUGGUCCAAGUUAUAUUGGGAUUCAGCCAAUAGAAGAUAUUUUGCCUGUCAUCCCUAAGCUUAGGACAAUAGACUCUGCCAAGAGAGGGGAUUAUUACAUAUUGCAGAGCCCAGCACCUAGGUGGAGUGACUCUCAUCUUUUUCUUCUACCCCGUAUAUAGCCAGCUUGGUGACCUACUAUUUGAGUCUAUACCCAGGCCCAGACCACAGAUGAAAUUGUGCAAUAUGUGGAACAAACACCUAAACAAUAUAUAACACCUUCCUUGGCUCUGUCUACAAAGGGCACUUUUAUAUAUCACUGGGACCAUCAACCAGGUGAUGUUGUGCCAUAUAACUGAGACCGUAUCAAAAGCCUAAUAACAAGACGUAUGUCUGGAGCCCCGAUAUGCACAGGAUGGUGAUAUAACCCUCUUCUCUGGAAUGGGCCCCACACAAAGGAAGGAUAGUGACAUAUUGCAAGCCCAGGCACACAGGCCCAGAGCACAGUUGAAAUUGUGACAUAUGUACACCAAGCAACCAAGCAAUGUAUAACACCUCAUUUGGCAAUGGAAUCGAGGGCACUUUUACAUAUCACUGAGACCAGCGCCCAGCUGAUGUGAAAUAUUGGCCUGAACCCUGCCUACAAAAGCAUUGUGGCUUUUAUCUAGCUCCAUUACAUAAGUGAUGUGACUUCCUUCUACUGCCUUGGCCCUGCACUUAUGGUGAAUCGUGACACAAAAUUGGGUAGAGCAACCAGCCUGGGCCCUGACCAGCACAGAGAUUGAGGCAUAUUGCUGAACCCAGGACCAAGAUGAAGUCACUCUCCUGCCUUGAUCCUGCACACAGGGACCCUUGUGACAUAUAUACAGGCCAAUUGCCUAGGUAAAGUUUGUCUCCUCUCCUGCCUAAGCCCUGCCCAUGGGGAGGAUUUAGAUAUAUCACUGAAACCAGCAUCCAGGUGAUAUGACUCUUUUUCCAGAGUCUUGUGACAUUUCACUGGACCAGCACCCACUCAGGUGAUGUGACUUUCCUUUCUUCUCCCCACCCACAGGUGAUGUUGUGCAAUAUACCUGAGACCA